RNAcentral lists this ribosomal RNA (454 nucleotides) under uncultured bacterium. Its description in RNAcentral is "partial 16S ribosomal RNA". It matches the Rfam family "Bacterial small subunit ribosomal RNA", at positions 28 to 507 of the family's 1533-position model. The record is from RNAcentral.
GAUGAACGCUGACAGAAUGCUUAACACAUGCAAGUCUACUUGAACUUCGGUUUGGGUGGCGGACGGGUGAGUAACGCGUAAAGAACUUGCCUCACAGAUAGGGACAACAUUUGGAAACGAAUGCUAAUACCUGAUAUUAUGAUUUUAGGGCAUCCUAGAAUUAUGAAAGCUAUAUGCACUGUGAGAGAGCUUUGCGUCCCAUUAGCUAGUUGGAGAGGUAACGGCUCACCAAGGCGAUGAUGGGUAGCCGGCCUGAGAGGGUGAUCGGCCACAAGGGGACUGAGACACGGCCCUUACUCCUACGGGAGGCAGCAGUGGGGAAUAUUGGACAAUGGACCAAGAGUCUGAUCCAGCAAUUCUGUGUGCACGAUGAAGUUUUUCGGAAUGUAAAGUGCUUUCAGUUGGGAAGAAAAAAAUGACGGUACCAACAGAAAAAGUGACGGCUAAAUACGUG